GACGGAGGAUGCAAGCGUUAUCCGGAAUGAUUGGGCGUAAAGCGUCCGCAGGUGGCAGUUCAAGUCUGCUGUCAAAGACCGGGGCUUAACUUCGGAAAGGCAGUGGAAACUGAACAGCUAGAGUAUGGUAGGGGCAGAGGGAAUUCCUGGUGUAGCGGUGAAAUGCGUAGAGAUCAGGAAGAACAUCGGUGGCGAAGGCGCUCUGCUGGACCAUAACUGACACUCAGGGACGAAAGCUAGGGGAGC
RNAcentral lists this ribosomal RNA (246 nucleotides) under uncultured bacterium. Its description in RNAcentral is "partial 16S ribosomal RNA". It matches the Rfam family "Bacterial small subunit ribosomal RNA", at positions 524 to 769 of the family's 1533-position model. The record is from RNAcentral.